This 2337-nucleotide long non-coding RNA is filed under the name Nicotiana tabacum (common tobacco). RNAcentral describes it as "long non-coding RNA (NTAB_LNC004488)". Lineage: Eukaryota; Viridiplantae; Streptophyta; Magnoliopsida; Solanales; Solanaceae. The record is from RNAcentral.
CAGUAAGCAAAGCCUUUUUGAUUUCUGCAAAUAGGAUUCAAAUUUCAGCUCCUCCGGAAAUACAGUUAAACUUCCUGUAACAAAGGAUCAUUACUGAAUAGAAUAGCACCAAGUCGAGAACUUGACAAAAGAAGGAUCAAUUUCACUACGUGAUAACCAAAUUGAUUCUGUAAUUUGAGAGAAGUAUUCGAACUUGGAAAUCUGUUUUUAUCAUGAUUUUGUAUAUUUAUAUUUUAUAUCCGAGAGCCAAAUUCUGUAGUUUUCUAUUCUUUAUCGGCAUUCUCAUUCCUUAGAUCCUCUAAUGAGGGCAUUUUAUGUCCCUUCCAUCUGCAUUUUGUCAGGAAUAAUACAACAACAACAACAACAUACCCAGUAUUAUCCCACACAUUGGGGUUUGGAAGGGUAGUGUGUACGCAGACCUUACCCCUACCUUGUGAGGAUCACCACAUUAAUGAAAAUAUAGACAAGGGACAGUACCAAAAAGCCAUAUAAAAGCAAAAUAAAAACAACAAGAUAGUAAGGUGAUCAACAAUGAAAGAAAACAACGGUUAGUCAUAAAAACCUACUACCAACAGAAAGCGAGAUUGCGUGCCAAUACUACUGCUAUGAACACUCUACACUACCUACUCUACUACCCUAAUCCUCGACAUCCAUACCUUCCUAUCAAGGGUCAUGUCCUCGGUCAGCUAAAGUUGCGUCAUGUCUUGCCUAAUCAACUCUCUCCACCUCUUCUUUGGCCUACUUCUACCUCUCCGUAGGCCCUCCAAUGUUAACCUCUCACACCUCCUCACCAGGGCGUUUGUGCUCCUCCUCCUCAAAUGUCCAAACCACCUAAACCGAGCUUCCCGAAUCUUGUCCUCAAUAGGGGUCACACUCACCUUAUCGCGAAUAACCUCAUUUCUGAUCCUAUCUAACCUGGUGUGCCCGCACAUCCAUCUUAACAUCCUCAUCUCUGCUACCUUCAUCUUUUGGACAUGAGCGGUCUUGGCUGGCCAACCCUCAGGCCCAUACAACAUCGUUGGUCUGACCACCACUCUGUAGAACUUACCCUUUAGUUUCGGUGGCACCUUCUUGUCACACAAAACACCGGAAGCGAGUUUCCAUUUCAUCCAUCCCGCCCCAAUUUGUCAGGAAUAAUAUGUUCGCAAUACAAAUGCCAACGUACUACCAUCUGAUAUGAAAUAGCGGGAAAAAAAAAUAAUAGCAUACACUCUCAGGGAAAAAAGAAAUAAUAGCUCGUUUGGUAUAAUCACGGGAUUAAAAUUGAGAUGAGUUAAUCACAUGUUUGGUUGUAAUAAAAUCGUGUUAUAACUAAUUCCGAAAUUGUAUUUUUUUUUUAUCCCUUGGGAUGGUGGAAUAACUAAUCCCAAGAUAAUUAAUCUUGGGGUAACUUGUUCCAACCAAACGACCCCUCAAAGAAUUCUUUAAGCCUCAGAAACUGGAAUUGUUUUUGAUAAAUGAGCAGUCAAAAAAACAUUACAUAUUACUUGAGCAUAUAGCCCAGUGAGAAUUAUCAUUCACCAAACUACUGUCAUAAGAACAGUUUCUUGAUUCCCUGCUUAGUAUUUAACUAGGGGAACAAAAAAGAAAAAAAAAAGCACAAUUCAGGAUCAAUUUUCCACUGCUGAAAGCAAAUGAAACAAUACCACAUGUGCUUCUCGGAAAUGACUGACCUAAAAGGAUAGUUUUUAUCAUCAUCAAUCCUAAGCCACUAUAGACAGAAUUUAUAUAAACAUUGGAAAAAAGGACUACCAUUUGUUCAAAGAUUGGAGCUUUAUAGUAUAUUAUUUAUGCUGAAAGAUUAGAGCUUUUUACACAUCAGUCCAAGAACCAGUUCUGAGCCUCAUUGGUCUCAAUGGCCUAAUUCUUGAUGAAGACUUGAAAGCUUCAACCAAUGACUUGCAUUUAUCAUUGUCCCCUUUGUUUUCCUCCAAACAUUUCUUCAAUGCUUCAACAUCAGCCACAGCCACCUUCUUCUCUGCAAUCCCACUCUCCCUUUUCUCAUCAUCAUUAUCCAUUUCUUCAAAAUUCAACCAACAAAAUCCAAAAAAGAAUCACUAGAAAUUUUAGAUUGAACUCUAUAUACUAAUUGAUCAUGGAAAUUUGAGAGUCAACAAGUUGUACAGUGAUGAAUUGUGUGAUUAAACUGCAAAAGAGGAGCAUAGGAUUUUUGUGGCAGCUUCUGUUUUGGUUGUUUUUUGGGAGUUUGGGAAUCUAUUAAAAGUGGGACCCUGCACAGAGGUGAUUGACAUGGAUCUGAUCACUUGCUGACUUAUUCAGUCACAAGUGUACUUUGAGGUGAAUUUUUUUCUUGUUUUCUUUUUCUCAUAAAUUUAC